AACGAACGCUGGCGGCAUGCCUAACACAUGCAAGUCGAACGAGAUCUUCGGGUCUAGUGGCGCACGGGUGCGUAACGCGUGGGAAUCUGCCCUUUGGUUCGGAAUAACAGUUGGAAACGACUGCUAAUACCGGAUGAUGACGAAAGUCCAAAGAUUUAUCGCCAGAGGAUGAGCCCGCGUAGGAUUAGCUAGUUGGUGUGGUAAAGGCGCACCAAGGCGACGAUCCUUAGCUGGUCUGAGAGGAUGAUCAGCGACACUGGGACUGGGACACGGCCCAGACUCCUACGGGAGGCAGCAGUGGGGAAUAUUGGACAAUGGGCGAAAGCCUGAUCCAGCAAUGCCGCGUGAGUGAUGAAGGCCUUAGGGUUGUAAAGCUCUUUUACCCGGGAUGAUAAUGACAGUACCGGGAGAAUAAGCUCCGGCUAACUCCGUGCCAGCAGCCGCAGUAA
RNAcentral lists this ribosomal RNA (449 nucleotides) under uncultured bacterium. RNAcentral describes it as "partial 16S ribosomal RNA". It matches the Rfam family "Bacterial small subunit ribosomal RNA", at positions 29 to 523 of the family's 1533-position model. The record is from RNAcentral.